This 293-nucleotide long non-coding RNA is filed under the name Carica papaya (papaya). Its description in RNAcentral is "long non-coding RNA (CPAP_LNC004027)". The record is from RNAcentral. Lineage: Eukaryota; Viridiplantae; Streptophyta; Magnoliopsida; Brassicales; Caricaceae.
CAUUGCUGUUGUGUGCUUGUUAAAUGUUAGUGGGUAUCCUAUAGGGGGAUGCCGAUAUUGGUUGUCAUUACUAGAGGGAGUAAGUGAUCGCCGAUAGUGGUGAUAGUCGGGAGACCCUGACGGAUAGGGGGUUGGAUCGCCGAUAUUGGUGACAGAAGAGAAUAGUAACUGUGUGUGUGCGUGGCUUGUUGGGGGUCGAGAGGUGGAUUAUGGUCGCCGAUAUUGGUCACGGGUGAGAAUAUUUAUACGCUUGGGGUGACGUUGGGAGACGGUCACACUUGAUAUGCAUGAUA